This is an RNA transcript of Acipenser ruthenus (sterlet), 4170 nucleotides long. It is a transcript of the gene named non-muscle caldesmon-like, with no coding region annotated. The record is from RefSeq and is a predicted model, not a curated record. The transcript is spliced from 19 exons. Lineage: Eukaryota; Metazoa; Chordata; Actinopteri; Acipenseriformes; Acipenseridae.
CGAAUGUAAACAGAGGAGACAGAGUUUAUUGAGAGAAGGAGGGGCUAAGGCAGGCUCGUCCUUUAAUUGAAUAGGAGAAUCGCUGACUGUAUUAAGACCGAUGCUUGCCUUAGUACUCGACUGUGUUGGUUUUUCUGUUCGGGUGUUUUGGUCGCUGUUUACAAAUAAUACAACCAAAUAAUAUCAGUUUUGAAGUCGUCCGCAAUUCUCAGAUAUCCCUGCUGUGUAAGAGUGCCGGCAGCUGCAGUGAGUGAUCGACAGGACUGGAGAGCUGUGAGUUUGAUUAGGACCUGCAUUUCAGACAGUAACCGCACAACCCAGGACCUGUCAUGGAUGACUUUGAACGCCGCAGAGAACUGAGGAGGCAAAAGCGCGAAGAGAUGAGGAUUGAGGCUGAAAGGCUGGCGUUUCAGAGGACUGAUGAGGAUGACGAGGAAGCUGCCCGUGAGCGUCGGCGCAGAGCCCGUCAGGACCGCCUGCGCAACAAGGAGGAAGAGGAGGAGACGAGCAACGUGAGCUGUGACAAAGUGGAGAUCAACAACCAGAACAGUGUGGCGGAGGAAGAGCAGCAGAGUAUCGCUGUGAGCCCCCCUCCCCCCCAAACCCAAGACGAGUCUUCUCUCCAGGAAAAGCUGGACAAGCGCGAGGAGCGGCGCCAGAAGAGACUGCAGGAGGCGCUAGAGAGGCAGAAAGAGUUCGACCCCACCAUCAGCCUCCCCAAGGCGAACCACCGUGAGGAGGAGGAGGAGGAGGAGGAGAGGAGGGGCCGGUACCAGCAAGAGGAGGAGAAAACCAACCAGCGCAAUGCCUGGAGGGACAAAGAGGAGGAAGAGAAGGUAGAGCCAGCCCAGGAAGAGGAGCCAGAGGAACCGCAAGAGGAGCCAGAGGUGGAGGAGAAGCAGGAGGAGGUGAUAGUGGAGAAACCGAGACGAUCUUACAUGACUACAGAGGUCGUCAUCGAGGAGAAGCCGAAGCAGUUUUCCAGGAGAGAUGAGGAAGUGAUUGAGGAUAAACCGAAGAGGUCAUACGAGAGAGCGGAGGAAGUGAUUGAAGAAAAGCCUAGAUCUUACAAGGAAGAAGAGGUCCGGGUGGAGAGGAAGCGCAGGGAGGUUGAGGUGAUCAGCACUCCAGAGCCCAAGCAUCAGAACGGGGGAGACUUCCAUGAAGACACCCCUGACAGGCACAAGAAACCCGAGCGGAGCCUCAGCCGUGGCGGCUUGCGCUCGAUCCCGGAUCCCGUGGAAUCGGAACAGGACUCGGACGCGGCGCGCCAGGAAGCGGAGCACAAGCUGGAAGUGCUGCGUCGUCGGAGGGACGAGACGGAGAGCGAGGAGUUCCACAGGAUGAAGCUGAAGCAGCAGGAAGCAGAGCAGGAGCUGGAGGAGCUGAAGAGAAAGAGGGAGGAGAGGAGGAAGGUGCUGGAGGAGGAGGAGCAGCUCAGGAAGCAGGAGGAAUCCCAGAAGAAAGCCAGGGAGGAGGAGGAGAAGAGGAGGAUGAAGGAGGAGAUUGAAAGGAGACGCGCAGAGGCAGCUGAGAAGAGACAGAAGAUCACCGAGGAGGUUUCCCCUGACGGGGAGGGCAAGAAGCCGUUCAAAUGUGUCAGCCCCCGGGGGUCUUCACUGAAGAUUGGCGAGAGGGCAGAGUUUUUGAACAAAUCAGUCCAGAAAAGCAGCAGCAGUGUUAAGAGCUCGCACCCGAUUCUACAGGUCUCCAAGAUUGACAACAAGCUGGAGCUGUACACCUCCGCUGUGCAGACCAACAAGGAGAUCAAGCACCCCAAGCCGGGGGCGUCCGACCUGUCUGUGGUGGGGGAGGGGGUCCGUAACAUGAAGAGCAUGUGGGAGAAAGGGAACGUCUUCAGCUCUCCCGGGAGCCCUGGAGCCCCCAACAAGGAGACAGCUGGCCUGAAGGUCGGGGUGGCCAGUCGGAUUAACGAUUGGCUCAACAAGACUCCGGACAGCAAAACAGCCGGAGGGAAGCCCGCGGAUCUGAAGCCUGGAGAUGUAACCAACAAGCGCAGCUUAUGGGAAAACAAACCUUCUUCCCCAGAUAAAUCAACCACCCGUGCCAAGAUUUCUCUUAGCUAGUUGGCUUCAUCCCUUUCUCAUGAUGUGCAGAAGAGGUAACAGCUGGAGGGAGGGAAAAAAUCAGAUACCAACGGAUUGGGACACCGACCCUAAGAGAUGUUUGAGGAGAAUGGAAGAAACAUACGUCAAUACGUCAAAGUGCUCGACUCUCCUUUUUUCUAUUUAUAUUUUAAUACCAAAAAUCUUUUUGCAAUAGCCCAGGAAAAAAGAAAAAGAAAAAAAAUGAUAUUAGCUCAAAACGGCCACAGUUUUAUACAGUCAUGUUUAAAGUAUACAGCCUUUGCACAAGACCUUUUUAAUUUCUUUAAAAAAAAUAUGCUGUGAAAUUUGAAACGUUUAUAUCGAUAUCAAGUCAUUUUAUUAUUUUUUUUGAUUGUUUGUAUUUUAUUUCAUGUUACGAACUGCAGAAAGGAAAGACGACAAUCGCUAAAGGGCUGUUUUUUUCACUGCAGUGUCAGACAGACAGACGUUUGAAUGCUGAUCCGAUUCUCUAUUGAACAAGGAGAUUGUUCCUCUUUCCUUUCUGCAGUUGGGAAUAACUUUUAAUACAGCGAGUUUAUCUUGCUAGCAAAGUAAAAUGCUGAUCGUGGUACUGAUUACAGUGGUAAAGAUUAGAAGACAUUAUAAGAGGUGGUCAGAGGUUUCAACACACAUGCACACAUUGCUUUGAGAGGUUUAGUUUAAACGGCACUUUUUAUUGGCAGUAGAACGCUCCAAUGUAUGUUAGGACAUAUAUCUAGUAAUAAAUAUUUACACUAUAGUCUAUUUCACAGCUUGUUAUUUCAGAUGUCAUGUUUUGUUGUAACAAAGAUACAUACCUGAAGCUAUCAAUGGAAGCACUGCAAGACACAUUUCACAUUUUUGGUCAUUAUUAUGUGUUGGGUUGGCCAUAUACAUGAGAAAACACUGCAAAAAUAAAUGCAAUAAAAUGGGGCGGGGGGCAAUGUGUAAUGGGGUAGCAAGCCAUUCAGUGCCAUCCUUGCAAAGUGUGCUUGUAAUCAAGGAAGACAGUAUCGGAGGGGGGAGAGAGAGAGAGAGAGAGAGAGAGAGAGAGAGAGAGAGAGAGAGAGAGAGAGAGACCCACAAGAUUGCAAAUGAACUGUACAGCUCUGGCCCAACGUUUUGCAUCACCUAGUAUUUUAGAAUUGAGACAUAAUUAUUAUUAUUAUUUUUAAAACUAUACAAACAUACUUUAGAUGUUUUAUUUAACAUCAUGUAAUCAAAGAAACUACAAAAUGAUAUCGCACAAGGCUACCGGACUACCCUUCCUCAAGAAACUUUUGCAGACGGAUUAAUCUGACCUAAAUUAUUAAAAUUACAUUUCGAAUCAAUAAAAGAAAACAACAUCAUUGGUUCAUUUGCAACUUGAAUUAAGAACCCAUGAUAAUGAUAACGAAAAAUGUAAUCGCCCAAACAGUGAUCUUACACAGAAGUUUGAUCUUGCGGGGUGUACACUAACUGCCGUUGGUCUGCAGGUUUGAAUUUGCAGGUCACUUUGGUUGUCUGAAGAGCCAGUCACCAUAGCAGCACACUUUUAAGGUUCAACAAAUAAAAAAUCUACCUACGCAAGAUUAAAAACUGGUUCACGUAAAACAACCGUUUUUUGAAUGGCGGCCCUAGCAAUUCCUGGCAGUAAGAUCAUUUGUAUGAGCAAGGCCUCAACUGUGGAUCACAAGUGAAUGCAGGGACUAUAGCAGUGUGGCAGUGGGGAUAUGAUGGGUUUACCACUGCCAGUUGUCAUUUGAACCUGUGCCUAGACAAGGAAAGGGAAACGGAAAGACACCGAGACAAAAGAUGCUUCGGAUGCUUCUAGUGGUGGUGUUGUUUUUUGAAGUGAUGUUGUUUUCUUUUCAUUUGUACUUCUCUUUUUUGUUUUCAUAUAAAAACGCAACUGCACUCGAAAUAUUGUAGAGGGCUGAAAACUAGCCUAUGCAAAGCCUUUGUCUUUGCAUCGUCUGCAAAUGCUGCCAUUUUUGUAAACGCUGGGUAUUUGCAGUGUGGAAGAUAGCUUCAUGCAGAGUAUUUGUUUAAGCAAUGUAUCGUGAAAAAACAGCCACCACAAUAAAUCGCUAAUGUCCAAGAA